RNAcentral lists this ribosomal RNA (497 nucleotides) under uncultured bacterium. Its description in RNAcentral is "partial 16S ribosomal RNA". It matches the Rfam family "Bacterial small subunit ribosomal RNA", at positions 28 to 507 of the family's 1533-position model. The record is from RNAcentral.
GACGAACGCUGGCGGCGUGCCUAAUACAUGCAAGUUGAGCGCUGAAGGUUGGUACUUGUACCAACUGGAUGAGCAGCGAACGGGUGAGUAACGCGUGGGGAAUCUGCCUUUGAGCGGGGGACAACAUUUGGAAACGAAUGCUAAUACCGCAUAAAAACUUUAAACACAAGUUUUAAGUUUGAAAGAUGCAAUUGCAUCACUCAAAGAUGAUCCCGCGUUGUAUUAGCUAGUUGGUGAGGUAAAGGCUCACCAAGGCGAUGAUACAUAGCCGACCUGAGAGGGUGAUCGGCCACAUUAGGACUGAGACACGGCCCAAACUCCUACGGGAGGCAGCAGUAGGGAAUCUUCGGCAAUGGACGAAAGUCUGACCGAGCAACGCCGCGGGAGUGAAGAAGGUUUUCGGAUCGUAAAACUCUGUUGGUAGAGAAGAACGUUGGUGAGAGUGGAAAGCUCAUCAAGUGACGGUAACUACCCAGAAAGGGACGGCUAACUACGUG